UUUUGCAUUUUCCAAAAAGCGGAGGAAAAGAAACCAACAGGGAUUGCCCUAGUAACGGCGAGUGAAGCGGCAACAGCUCAAAUUUGAAAUCUGGCUCUUUCAGAGUCCGAGUUGUAAUUUGCAGAGGGCGCUUUGGCUUUGGCAGCGGUCCAAGUUCCUUGGAACAGGACGUCACAGAGGGUGAGAAUCCCGUACGUGGUCGCUAGCUAUUGCCGUGUAAAGCCCCUUCGACGAGUCGAGUUGUUUGGGAAUGCAGCUCUAAAUGGGAGGUAAAUUUCUUCUAAAGCUAAAUAUUGGCCAGAGACCGAUAGCGCACAAGUAGAGUGAUCGAAAGAUGAAAAGCACUUUGGAAAGAGAGUCAAACAGCACGUGAAAUUGUUGAAAGGGAAGCGCUUGCAGCCAGACUUGCUUGCAGUUGCUCAUCCGGGCUUUUGCCCGGUGCACUCUUCUGCAGGCAGGCCAGCAUCAGUUUGGGCGGUGGGAUAAAGGUCUCUGUCACGUACCUUCCUUCGGGUUGGCCUUAUAGGGGAGACGCCAUACCACCAGCCUGGACUGAGGUCCGCGCAUCUGCUAGGAUGCUGGCGUAAUGGCUGUAAGCGGCCCGUCUUGAAACCCCGGAACCAAAA
Molecule: ribosomal RNA, 626 nt
Filed under: Curvularia spicifera
Lineage: Eukaryota; Fungi; Ascomycota; Dothideomycetes; Pleosporales; Pleosporaceae
Description: LSU rRNA
Rfam family: Eukaryotic large subunit ribosomal RNA
Source: RNAcentral